Long non-coding RNA from Dermacentor andersoni, 2070 nucleotides. RefSeq lists it as uncharacterized. The record is from RefSeq and is a predicted model, not a curated record. Lineage: Eukaryota; Metazoa; Arthropoda; Arachnida; Ixodida; Ixodidae.
ACCGCACCCCCACAACUCCAGAAGAGAGCGCUUGCCGCAGGCCCCGGAUAGGGUAGUGCCGCCGCAGAACAGCGCCAGUCGUAGCCGACCGGCCAGCUAAAGCCGUUGGCGCUGGCUGGCUGCGCGGAGGGGCGCAAUUACGUUCGCACUAGUUUCGGACGGGUCGUAAUUAUCUCGCAAAAUCGCACCCCAACCAUUUUCUUUCAUUCGCCGUUCUCUCUCGCUCGUGCGCGUUCCCACACACAGCGGGCGCAAGAGAUGAGCUCGGAGGGAACGAAAGAAGGCAAAAGAAAAAGACCACGAAAGCGUCGUCAUUCUGAAGUCGCGUCAGCCGGGUGGGGGCUCCGAAAGAAACACGCCGCCGGUCCAAAUUGCGCCGCUGCGUCAGCGAGCGAGGCAGAGCUACACGAACGCUGCUGCUGCUCCAGCACAAGACGGCGACGAAAAAAAAAAGAAAGAAGAGGGAGAGAGAGAUUCUCCCUGCAGCGCUACCAGAGCAACAGCGAGCCAGCUAGCAGCAGGGCCCGGCAAGUGCGCGCCGCACAAAGCGACACAAGAAGCAAAGCAGAAGAAAAAAAAAGUGCAGUAUAACCAGAACACACGCAUAAAGACCGCGCGCGCGCCCCCCUAGAAUAAGCCCUGGGAGGAACGAAGCCCGCACAAGAGCGGAGUUGGGAGGAGGAGCGGGCCCUGGUAGAGUUUGAAAAGAACGCCGAGGAGCACUGGUGGAGGGGAAGGAGACAGGCAAGUAAAUAAAGAAAGCACACGCAAGCCUGCAGAAGCUGCAGUGCACAGGGAAAGGCACGUCGGCUACAGAGAAGGCUGGAACAGCGAGCGAAACGACGUCAGCUUUAUUUUUUUGUUGCUGUCUUCUCCUUUGGAGCCGGGCGCUUAUUUUAUCCUCCUACUCGCCAUCUCAGGGGCUAUUAUCGCGCGCGCGCACACUCCCCCCAGCCACCCGCUGUUUUCAGGCCGCAACAGCUGCGCUCGCCUCCGAUUGGACGAAACGCGCUGGCGGCUCUUCCAGGCAGACAACGGCACCCCCCGCUUUUACCGCAGUAGCAGAAGAGCGGCGCGGGCUGUGCGCAGGCGCGAGCUGCGGAGAGGGCGCGCGAGCCUGUAGAAGGACGGACGGCUAGGCCAGAGAACGGCGCUGCGCAUCCUAGAUCGAAACCCGCCGCCCCGAAUUGCCACGUAGGCACUUGUCUCCCACCAUAUUUGCAAGUAGGCACGGGAUAACGCCGCUGGCGAGUUUCAUAUUCGACAAAAAACGUCCCCAGUACGCUAGCGAGUCAGAAUGACUUUUUUUUAAACUUUCAUCGGCAGCGGCGAAGCUGGAGUAUAGAGUACGUACAGCGCUACGCCGGCCAUCCGCUCACAGGUGACCUUCGUUUCACAACGGGCUAUGUAGAGGAAGAGAUUCAUUAAAUGUGUGCAUCAUGCAUUGUGCUGCGGCGGAGCGCCAUUUCCUUCUUUUUUUUCUUCCGUUGCCGAAAUUGUGAUGACUUCCUGUUUUUCUUUGAACUGCACGGCGAGUCCAGCCCAGUGGUAGUGUGCCCCGCUCCAUCCAGCGUCGCCCGACAGCCGAAGCCGCCACCGCCGAGCCCGGCCGGCACGGCCCGAACUUCCCACGACGCCAUUGCAGAGGGUGCUCAUGUAUAUGCAAUACGGCGUUCAUUAAGUAACGUAAAUAAAUUCGCCCAAAUGCAAAUGAAUCUUUCGACGAUCUCGUUUCUUUGACAGCGAACAAGUGCGGCGGCUUCUUUUGCUACGGACACCACAUGCAUCAUCGAACUGGCAACAACACAAGAGACGAGGGGCCUCUCACUCGCGCGGACCUCUCGCGUAAAACGCCGCCAUCAACAACGUGCGCCUGCAAUUAAUGGAUGCAGAGGCCACAGUCGAACGUGACGCAGCUUCGUUGUCGGAAUCCUUGGCUUCUGCACGACAUGGCGUGACUUCUUCGCGUUCCGACGGAGACACGACGCGCUGUAGUGCAGCGAGCGAGCAACACUGCACCAAUCAUGGCGGUGAUGACUCGUCAUUCGGUUUAUAAGAGUCAUUUCAAAA